RNAcentral lists this ribosomal RNA (795 nucleotides) under unidentified microorganism. RNAcentral's name for it is "bacterial SSU rRNA". It matches the Rfam family "Bacterial small subunit ribosomal RNA", at positions 51 to 847 of the family's 1533-position model. The record is from RNAcentral.
ACACAUGCAAGUCGAACGAUGAACCUCACUUGUGGGGGGAUUAGUGGCGAACGGGUGAGUAACACGUGAGUAACCUGCCCUUGACUCUGGGAUAAGCCUGGGAAACCGGGUCUAAUACUGGAUACGACCUUCUGGCGCAUGCCAUGUUGGUGGAAAGCUUUUGUGGUUUUGGAUGGACUCGCGGCCUAUCAGCUUGUUGGUGGGGUAAUGGCCUACCAAGGCGACGACGGGUAGCCGGCCUGAGAGGGUGACCGGCCACACUGGGACUGAGACACGGCCCAGACUCCUACGGGAGGCAGCAGUGGGGAAUAUUGCACAAUGGGCGCAAGCCUGAUGCAGCGACGCCGCGUGAGGGAUGAAGGCCUUCGGGUUGUAAACCUCUUUCAGUAGGGAAGAAGUCCAUCUUUUGGGUGGGUGACGGUACCUGCAGAAGAAGCGCCGGCUAACUACGUGCCAGCAGCCGCGGUAAUACGUAGGGCGCAAGCGUUAUCCGGAAUUAUUGGGCGUAAAGAGCUCGUAGGCGGUUUGUCGCGUCUGCCGUGAAAGUCCGGGGCUUAACUCCGGAUCUGCGGUGGGUACGGGCAGACUAGAGUGCAGUAGGGGAGACUGGAAUUCCUGGUGUAGCGGUGAAAUGCGCAGAUAUCAGGAGGAACACCGAUGGCGAAGGCAGGUCUCUGGGCUGUAACUGACGCUGAGGAGCGAAAGCAUGGGGAGCGAACAGGAUUAGAUACCCUGGUAGUCCAUGCCGUAAACGUUGGGCACUAGGUGUGGGGGACAUUCCACGUUUUCCGCGCC